This is a long non-coding RNA of Cornus florida, 346 nucleotides long. RefSeq lists it as uncharacterized. The record is from RefSeq and is a predicted model, not a curated record. The transcript has 3 exons. Lineage: Eukaryota; Viridiplantae; Streptophyta; Magnoliopsida; Cornales; Cornaceae.
UAUUGGGACUAAAUUUCAUAUCACAUAUUUGGUGCAGGCUGAAUCGGUGGAUUGUUUAUUGGAGCGGCUGGGUCUUCAAAAAUAUUCAAGUAUAUUCAAAAAUGAGGAAAUUGAUAUGACAAUUCUUAUACACAUGACUGAUGAGGAUCUCGAGUCUAUAGGAUUACCAAAGGGUCCAAUAAAGAAGAUAUUCAGCAAUUUGACAUUCGGAAGUUGACUAGACUCCUUCCCAAUUUUUUUUACAGUGGGAGAUUUUUCACAUGGAAACAGUCUGGCUGCGGCCCAAGACCUUGUAAUGGCAGGAGGUUUGCCCUAUAUUUUGUAUGCAAACUUCAAGUUGGUGUUU